UGAGGAAUCUUGCGCAAUGGGGGCAACCCUGACGCAGCGACGCCGCGUGAGGGAAGAAGGCCUUCGGGUCGUAAACCUCUGUCUAGAGGGAAGAAACCAUUGAGGUCGAACAGGCCUCUUUGCUGACGGUACCUCUGAAGGAAGCACCGGCUAACUCCGUGCCGGCAGCCGCGGUAAUACGGAGGGUGCGAGCGUUAAUCGGAAUCACUGGGCGUAACGCGCACGUAGGCGGUGUCGUAAGUCGGAUGUGAAAGCCCUCGGCUCAACCGGGGAACUGCAUUCGUUACUGCGACGCUUGAGUGCCGGAGAGGGUGGCGGAAUUCCAGGUGUAGGAGUGAAAUCCGUAGAUAUCUGGAGGAACACCAGUGGCGAAGGCGGCCACCUGGCCGGCAACUGACGCUGAGGUGCGAAAGCGUGGGGAUCAAACA
Molecule: ribosomal RNA, 428 nt
Filed under: uncultured prokaryote
Description: bacterial SSU rRNA
Rfam family: Bacterial small subunit ribosomal RNA
Source: RNAcentral